GUAAGGAGAGGUGGGAUGAGAGAGAGAGGAGAGAGAGGAGAGGUAAGGAGAGGUGGGAUGAGAGAGAGAGGAGAGAGAGAGAGGAGAGGUAAGGAGAGGUGGGAUGAGAGAGAGAGGAGAGAGAGGAGAGGUAAAGGAGAGGUGGGAUGAGAGAGAGAGGAGAGAGAGAGAGGAGAGGUAAGGAGAGGUGGGAUGAGAGAGAGAGGAGAGGUAAGGAGAGGUGGGAUGAGAGAGAGAGGAGAGAGAGGAGAGGUAAAGGAGAGGUGGGAUGAGAGAGAGAUGAGAGAGAGAGGAGAGGUAAGGAGAGGUGGGAUGAGAGAGAGAGGAGAGAGAGGAGAGGUAAAGGAGAGGUGGGAUGAGAGAGAGAGGAGAGAGAGAGAGGAGAGGUAAGGAGAGGUGGGAUGAGAGAGAGAGGAGAGGUAAGGAGAGGUGGGAUGAGAGAGAGAGGAGAGGUAAGGAGAGGUGGGAUGAGAGAGAGAGGAGAGGUAAGGAGAGGUGGGAUGAGAGAGAGAGGAGAGGUAAGGAGAGGUGGGAUGAGAGAGAGAGGAGAGGUAAGGAGAGGUGGGAUGAGAGAGAGAGGAGAGGUAAGGAGAGGUGGGAUGAGAGAGAGAGGAGAGGUAAGGAGAGGUGGGAUGAGAGAGAGAGGAGAGAGAGAGAGGAGAGGUAAGGAGAGGUGGGAUGAGAGAGAGGAGAGAGAGAGGAGAGAGAGAGAAAAAAAGCGAGAGAGAGAGAGCGAGAGAGAGAGAGAGAGAAAGAAGAGAGAGAGCGAGAGAGAGAGACGUUA
Long non-coding RNA from Oncorhynchus keta (chum salmon), 784 nucleotides. RefSeq lists it as uncharacterized. Lineage: Eukaryota; Metazoa; Chordata; Actinopteri; Salmoniformes; Salmonidae. The record is from RefSeq and is a predicted model, not a curated record. The transcript is spliced from 6 exons.